Molecule: ribosomal RNA, 496 nt
Filed under: uncultured bacterium
Lineage: Bacteria
Description: partial 16S ribosomal RNA
Rfam family: Bacterial small subunit ribosomal RNA
Source: RNAcentral
GAUGAACGCUGGCGGCGUGCCUAAUACAUGCAAGUCGAGCGAACGGACGAGAAGCUUGCUUCUCUGAUGUUAGCGGCGGACGGGUGAGUAACACGUGGAUAACCUACCUAUAAGACUGGGAUAACUUCGGGAAACCGGAGCUAAUACCGGAUAAUAUUUUGAACCGCAUGGUUCAAAAGUGAAAGACGGUCUUGCUGUCACUUAUAGAUGGAUCCGCGCUGCAUUAGCUAGUUGGUAAGGUAACGGCUUACCAAGGCAACGAUGCAUAGCCGACCUGAGAGGGUGAUCGGCCACACUGGAACUGAGACACGGUCCAGACUCCUACGGGAGGCAGCAGUAGGGAAUCUUCCGCAAUGGGCGAAAGCCUGACGGAGCAACGCCGCGUGAGUGAUGAAGGUCUUCGGAUCGUAAAACUCUGUUAUUAGGGAAGAACAGAUGUGUAAGUAACUGUGCACAUCCUGACGGUACCUAAUCAGAAAGCCACGGCUAACUACGU